UAGGGAAUCUUCCGCAAUGGGCGAAAGCCUGACGGAGCAACGCCGCGUGAGUGAUGAAGGUCUUCGGAUCGUAAAACUCUGUUAUUAGGGAAGAACAAAUGUGUAAGUAACUAUGCACGUCUUGACGGUACCUAAUCAGAAAGCCACGGCUAACUACGUGCCAGCAGCCGCGGUAAUACGUAGGUGGCAAGCGUUAUCCGGAAUUAUCGGGCGUAAAGCGCGCGUAGGCGGUUUUUUAAGUCUGAUGUGAAAGCCCACGGCUCAACCGUGGAGGGUCAUUGGAAACUGGAAAACUUGAGUGCAGAAGAGGAAAGUGGAAUUCCAUGUGUAGCGGUGAAAUGCGCAGAGAUAUGGAGGAACACCAGUGGCGAAGGCGACUUUCUGGUCUGUAACUGACGCUGAUGUGCGAAAGCGUGGGGAUCAAACAGG
Molecule: ribosomal RNA, 429 nt
Filed under: Actinomycetes bacterium
Lineage: Bacteria; Bacillati; Actinomycetota; Actinomycetes
Description: Actinobacteria bacterium partial 16S ribosomal RNA
Rfam family: Bacterial small subunit ribosomal RNA
Source: RNAcentral